UGCAAGUCGAACGGUCGUAGCAAUACGAUAGUGGCGCACGGGUGAGGAACACGUAGCUGACCUGCCUUUCAGCACGGGACAACAUUUCGAAAGAGAUGCUAAUACCGUAUACGGUUCACGGGGUGAGAAGCCCGUGAAAGAAAGGGGAAACCCGCUGAAAGAGGGGGCUGCGACCCAUCAGGUAGUUGGUGUGGUAACGGCGCACCAAGCCAACGACGGGUAGCGGGUCUGAGAGGAUGACCCGCCACACUGGGACUGAGACACGGCCCAGACUCCUACGGGAGGCAGCAGUGAGGGAUAUUGCACAAUGGGGGAAACCCUGAUGCAGCGACGCCGCGUGGGUGAUGAAGGACUUCGGUUCGUAAAACCCUUUUACAGGUGACGAGAACGGACGGUAGCCUGUGAAUAAGUCUCGGCUAACUACGUGCCAGCAGCCGCGGUAAAACGUAGGAGACAAGCGUUAUCCGGAGUUACUGGGCGUAAAGGGCGCGCAGGUGGUUAUGUAAGUGUGGCGUGAAAGCUCCCGGCUAAACUGGGAGAUGUCGAAACAGACUGCAUGACUAGAGGACGAUAGAAGCACGCGGAAUUCGGGGUGUAGCGGUGAAAUGUGUAGAGAUCCCGAGGAACACCAGUGGUGAAAACGGCGUGCUGGGUCGUACCUGACACUGAGGCGCGAAAGCUUGGGGAGCGAACGGGAUUAGAGACCCCGGUAGUCCAAGCCGUAAACGAUGCUUGCUGGAUGUCCACCUGUCGAAAGGCAGGGGGGUGUCGAAGCUAACGCGAUAAGCAAGCCGCCUGGGGAGUACGGUCGCAAGGCUAAAACUCAAAGGAAUUGACGGGGGCCCGCACAAGCAGCGGAGCGUGUGGUUUAAUUCGAGGCUACACGAAGAACCUUACCUGGGUUUGACAUGUAGGUGGUAGGGAACUGAAA
This 931-nucleotide ribosomal RNA is filed under the name uncultured Caldilineaceae bacterium. RNAcentral's name for it is "bacterial SSU rRNA". It matches the Rfam family "Bacterial small subunit ribosomal RNA", at positions 56 to 1006 of the family's 1533-position model. Lineage: Bacteria; Bacillati; Chloroflexota; Caldilineae; Caldilineales; Caldilineaceae. The record is from RNAcentral.